This 492-nucleotide ribosomal RNA is filed under the name uncultured bacterium. RNAcentral describes it as "partial 16S ribosomal RNA". It matches the Rfam family "Bacterial small subunit ribosomal RNA", at positions 29 to 507 of the family's 1533-position model. The record is from RNAcentral.
AGUGAACGCUGGCGGUAGGCCUAACACAUGCAAGUCGAACGGCAGCACAGUAAGAGCUUGCUCUUACGGGUGGCGAGUGGCGGACGGGUGAGGAAUACAUCGGAAUCUACUUUUUCGUGGGGGAUAACGUAGGGAAACUUACGCUAAUACCGCAUACGACCUACGGGUGAAAGCAGGGGAUCUUCGGACCUUGCGCGAUUGAAUGAGCCGAUGUCGGAUUAGCUAGUUGGCGGGGUAAAGGCCCACCAAGGCGACGAUCCGUAGCUGGUCUGAGAGGAUGAUCGGCCACACUGGAACGGAAACACGGUCCAGACUCCUGCGGGAGGCAGCAGUGGGGAAUAUUGGACAAUGGGCGCAAGCCUGAUCCAGCCAUACCGCGUGGGUGGAGAAGGCCUUCGGGUUGUAAAGCCCUUUUGUUGGGAAAGAAAAGCAGCAGGUUAAUACCCCGCUGUUCUGACGGUACCCAAAGAAUAAGCACCGGCUAACUUCGUG